AAGACUUCAGUGGAAGAAGUAACUGCAGGUGUAGUGGAAACAACAAGAGAACUAGAGUUAGAAGUAGAGCCUGAAGAUGUGACUGAAUUGCUGAAUUCUCACAGACCUUUCACUGAUGAGGAAG
Leopardus geoffroyi (Geoffroy's cat) is the source of this 124-nucleotide long non-coding RNA. RefSeq lists it as uncharacterized. Lineage: Eukaryota; Metazoa; Chordata; Mammalia; Carnivora; Felidae. The record is from RefSeq and is a predicted model, not a curated record. The transcript has 3 exons.